Molecule: ribosomal RNA, 209 nt
Filed under: Escherichia coli
Lineage: Bacteria; Pseudomonadati; Pseudomonadota; Gammaproteobacteria; Enterobacterales; Enterobacteriaceae
Also listed under: 1 other name
Description: partial 23S ribosomal RNA
Rfam family: Bacterial large subunit ribosomal RNA
Source: RNAcentral
GGCACUGCCCGGUAGCUAAAUGCGGAAGAGAUAAGUGCUGAAAGCAUCUAAGCACGAAACUUGCCCCGAGAUGAGUUCUCCCUGACUCCUUGAGAGUCCUGAAGGAACGUUGAAGACGACGACGUUGAUAGGCCGGGUGUGUAAGCGCAGCGAUGCGUUGAGCUAACCGGUACUAAUGAACCGUGAGGCUUAACCUUACAACGCCGAAG